AUGAUUUCUCAGGUCACCAUCUCUACUUAUUGUUCUUGGAUCUUUGUUGGUUGCAGAUAGAAAGACUAAGACAGUGGGAGGAAGACAAGUUGCUGGUUUGGCUUUUUGGGGAAGAAUGGAGACGACGUGUGAAGUCUUGGCAAUGGCUUGCUCUGCUCUCUCUCCUUUUAAUAUCAGAAAACCCUCUUCCUUGGCUGGUAUGGCUGCCCAUCCCUUCUUUACCGUGUUGCCUUUGUGGAGCCUUUCUAUUGGCUAGGAGUUGCAGCCCAUGCCUAGACCAACUGUUGGUCAAUUGACUACUGAUAUACAUAUUAUGCACGUGAUGGUGGUGGUCAAAUGUGUAUCUCAAAUGUGUCUUGCUG
This 362-nucleotide ribosomal RNA is filed under the name Triticum aestivum (bread wheat). Its description in RNAcentral is "partial small subunit ribosomal RNA". Lineage: Eukaryota; Viridiplantae; Streptophyta; Magnoliopsida; Poales; Poaceae. The record is from RNAcentral.